RNAcentral lists this ribosomal RNA (424 nucleotides) under uncultured rumen bacterium. RNAcentral describes it as "bacterial SSU rRNA". It matches the Rfam family "Bacterial small subunit ribosomal RNA", at positions 354 to 776 of the family's 1533-position model. The record is from RNAcentral.
GUGGGGAAUAUUGGACAAUGGCCGGAAGGCUGAUCCAGCCAUGCCGCGUGAAGGAUAAGGUCCUAUGGAUUGUAAACUUCUUUUGAGAGGGAGCAAUAAGGUGUACGCGUACACCGAUGAGAGUACCUUUCGAAUAAGCAUCGGCUAACUCCGUGCCAGCAGCCGCGGUAAUACGGAGGAUGCGAGCGUUAUCCGGAUUUAUUGGGUUUAAAGGGUGCGUAGGCGGUUUUUUAAGUCAGCGGUGAAACGCAAGGGCUCAACCCUUGACCUGCCGUUGAAACUGGAGGACUUGAAUGCGGAUGCUGUGGGAGGAAUGUGUGGUGUAGCGGUGAAAUGCAUAGAUAUCACACAGAACACCGAUUGCGAAGGCAUCUCACAAAUCCGUGAUUGACGCUGAGGCACGAAAGUGUGGGGAUCAAACAGG